GGUGCGGAACACGUACGCAACCUUCCCAUAACUGGUGAAUAGCCCUCCNAAAGGAGGAUUAAUACACCGUAACAUAACGAGAUGGCAUCAUCUUGUUAUUAUAGGCUUCGGCCGGUUUUGGAUGGGCGUGCGCCUGAUUAGGUAGUUGGCGGGGUAACGGCCCACCAAGCCUACGAUCAGUAACUGGUGUGAGAGCACGACCAGUCACACGGGCACUGAGACACGGGCCCGACUCCUACGGGAGGCAGCAGUAAGGAAUAUUGGUCAAUGGACGAAAGUCUGAACCAGCCAUGCCGCGUGAAGGAUGAAGGCCCUCUGGGUUGUAAACUUCUUUUAUAG
RNAcentral lists this ribosomal RNA (339 nucleotides) under uncultured Sphingobacteriia bacterium. RNAcentral describes it as "bacterial SSU rRNA". It matches the Rfam family "Bacterial small subunit ribosomal RNA", at positions 105 to 441 of the family's 1533-position model. The record is from RNAcentral. Lineage: Bacteria; Pseudomonadati; Bacteroidota; Sphingobacteriia.